This 301-nucleotide ribosomal RNA is filed under the name uncultured bacterium. RNAcentral describes it as "partial 16S ribosomal RNA". It matches the Rfam family "Bacterial small subunit ribosomal RNA", at positions 509 to 807 of the family's 1533-position model. The record is from RNAcentral.
CAGCCGCCACGGUAAUACGUAGGUGGCGAGCGUUGUCCGGAUUUAUUGGGCGUAAAGGGAGUGUAGGCGGUCUUUUAAGUCUGAUGUGAAAGCCCACGGCUCAACCGUGGAGGGUCAUUGGAAACUGGGAGACUUGAGUGCAGAAGAGGAGAGCGGAAUUCCAUGUGUAGCGGUGAAAUGCGUAGAUAUAUGGAGGAACACCAGUGGCGAAGGCGGCUCUCUGGUCUGUAACUGACGCUGAGGCUCGAAAGCGUGGGGAGCAAACAGGAUUAGAUACCCCCGUAGUCCCUGUCUCUUAUAC